This is a long non-coding RNA of Corticium candelabrum, 329 nucleotides long. RefSeq lists it as uncharacterized. The transcript is spliced from 3 exons. The record is from RefSeq and is a predicted model, not a curated record. NCBI's taxonomy places the organism in Eukaryota, Metazoa, Porifera, Homoscleromorpha, Homosclerophorida, Plakinidae.
GGGACAGCGUGAGCUUUCUUGUUUGCCAAAUCAAAGUUGGACGGGUGAAGCACCAACUUGCAAAGUAAAAUACUGUCCAGCACUUAGGACACCAGUACAUGGCAAGAAAGAUUCAAAUGACAUGUCUUGUGGUACUACAGUAGAGUUUAGAUGUGAUGAUUGUUAUGAGGUGGACGGUGACAAUCAUGUGACUUGCUUAUCUAAUCGAACAUGGAAUGGGACAGAACCCAGUUGCAAGAUAAAAUUCUGUUCAGCUCUUGUGACACCGACCGAUGGACAAAAGAACUCAAACAAUCGCUUGUGUAAUACAACUGUAUCUUUUAAUUGUU